This 200-nucleotide unclassified non-coding RNA is filed under the name soil metagenome. RNAcentral describes it as "partial contains internal transcribed spacer 2 and large subunit ribosomal RNA". The record is from RNAcentral.
UCAUUUCAACCCUCAAGCCCUGCUUGGUGUUGGGGUCCUACGGCUGCCGUAGGCCCUGAAAGCUAGUGGCGGGCUCGCUAUAACUCCGAGCGUAGUAGUAAAAUAUCUCGCUAGGGAGGUGUCGCGGGUUCCGGCCGUGAAAGCCCCAUCUUUUACACAAGGUUGACCUCGGAUCAGGUAGGAAUACCCGCUGAACUUAA